AGACGGAGGGCGCGAGCGUUGUUCGGAAUUACUGGGCGUAAAGCGCGCGCAGGCGGAUCUUCAAGUCGGGAGUGAAAUACCGGGGCUCAACUCCGGGGCGGCUUCCGAGACUGAGGGUCUGGGGACCGGUAGAGGCCGGUGGAAUUCCCGGUGUAGCGGUGGAAUGCGUAGAGAUCGGGAAGAACACCCGUGGCGAAGGCGGCCGGCUGGGCCGGAUCCGACGCUGAGGCGCGAAAGCGUGGGGAGCAAACAGGAUUAGAUACCCUGGUAGUCCACGCUGUAAACGAUGGGUGCUAGGUGCCGGGGGGAGCGACCCCUUCGGUGCCGGAGCUCACGCGUUAAGCACCCCGCCUGGGGAGUACGGCCGCAAGGCUGAA
RNAcentral lists this ribosomal RNA (377 nucleotides) under uncultured bacterium. RNAcentral's name for it is "bacterial SSU rRNA". It matches the Rfam family "Bacterial small subunit ribosomal RNA", at positions 523 to 898 of the family's 1533-position model. The record is from RNAcentral.